Molecule: ribosomal RNA, 491 nt
Filed under: uncultured bacterium
Lineage: Bacteria
Description: partial 16S ribosomal RNA
Rfam family: Bacterial small subunit ribosomal RNA
Source: RNAcentral
AUGAACGCUAGCUACAGGCUUAACACAUGCAAGUCGCGGGGAAACGGCAUCGAAAGCUUGCUUUUGAUGGGCGUCGACCGGCGCACGGGUGAGUAACGCGUAUCCAACCUGCCCAUCACUUGGGAAUAACCUUGCGAAAGUAAGACUAAUGCCCAAUGACAUCCCACGAAGGCAUCCGAAUGGGAUUAAAGAUUUAUCGGUGAUGGAUGGGGAUGCGUCUGAUUAGCUUGUUGGCGGGGUGACGGCCCACCAAGGCAACGAUCAGUAGGGGUUCUGAGAGGAAGGUCCCCCACAGUGGAACUGAGACACGGUCCAAACUCCUACGGGAGGCAGCAGUGAGGAAUAUUGGUCAAUGGGCGAGAGCCUGAACCAGCCAAGUAGCGUGCAGGAUGACGGCCCUAUGGGUUGUAAACUGCUUUUAUAAGGGAAUAAAGUGGGUCACGUGUGACUUUUUGCAUGUACCUUAUGAAUAAGGACCGGCUAAUUCCGUG